UACAGAGGUCCCAAGCGUUGUUCGGAUUCAUUGGGCGUAAAGGGUGUGUAGGUGGCGCCGUAAGUCGGGUGUGAAAUUUCGAGGCUUAACCUCGAAACUGCAUUCGAUACUGCGGUGCUCGAGGACUGGAGAGGAGACUGGAAUUCAUGGUGUAGCAGUGAAAUGCGUAGAGAUCAUGAGGAAGACCAGUGGCGAAGGCGGGUCUCUGGACAGUUCCUGACACUGAGACACGAAGGCCAGGGGAGCAAACAGG
RNAcentral lists this ribosomal RNA (253 nucleotides) under uncultured bacterium. Its description in RNAcentral is "partial 16S ribosomal RNA". It matches the Rfam family "Bacterial small subunit ribosomal RNA", at positions 524 to 776 of the family's 1533-position model. The record is from RNAcentral.